This 250-nucleotide ribosomal RNA is filed under the name Thraustochytriidae sp. RNAcentral describes it as "Thraustochytriaceae sp. partial small subunit ribosomal RNA". It matches the Rfam family "Eukaryotic small subunit ribosomal RNA", at positions 1385 to 1610 of the family's 1831-position model. Lineage: Eukaryota; Bigyra; Thraustochytrida; Thraustochytriidae. The record is from RNAcentral.
AUUAUGGAAACAUAAUUUAAGACUUCUUAAAGGGACAUGUUGGGUUUACCAGCGGGAAGUUUGAGGCAAUAACAGGUCUGUGAUGCCCUUAGAUGUUCUGGGCCGCACGCGCGCUACACUGACGAAUUCAACGAGCUUUAAAAAAAGUAUUCAUUUUUUUUAUAUCCUUAAUCGGAAGAUUUGGGUAAUCUUUUAAUGUUCGUCGUGAUGGGGCUAGAUUCUUGCAAUUAUUAAUCUCCAACGAGGAACC